UGGGGAAUAUUGGACAAUGGGCGCAAGCCUGAUCCAGCCAUGCCGCGUGAGUGAUGAAGGCCCUAGGGUUGUAAAGCUCUUUCACCGGUGAAGAUAAUGACGGUAACCGGAGAAGAAGCCCCGGCUAACUUCGUGCCAGCAGCCGCGGUAAUACGAAGGGGGCUAGCGUUGUUCGGAUUUACUGGGCGUAAAGCGCACGUAGGCGGACUUUUAAGUCAGGGGUGAAAUCCCGGGGCUCAACCCCGGAACUGCCUUUGAUACUGGAAGUCUUGAGUAUGGUAGAGGGGGGUGGAAUUCCGAGUGUAGAGGUGAAAUUCGUAGAUAUUCGGAGGAACACCAGUGGCGAAGGCGGCUCACUGGACCAUUACUGACGCUGAGGUGCGAAAGCGUGGGGAGCAAACAGG
RNAcentral lists this ribosomal RNA (404 nucleotides) under Actinomycetes bacterium. Its description in RNAcentral is "Actinobacteria bacterium partial 16S ribosomal RNA". It matches the Rfam family "Bacterial small subunit ribosomal RNA", at positions 355 to 776 of the family's 1533-position model. The record is from RNAcentral. Lineage: Bacteria; Bacillati; Actinomycetota; Actinomycetes.